CACCACACGGCUGCCUCGGGCAUGGGUUUCAGUCACCCCACCACACGGCUACCUCUGGCAUGGGUUUCAGUCACAUGGGUUUCAGUCACACCACCACACGGCUGCCUCUGGCAUGGGUUUCAGUCACAUGGGUUUCAGUCACACCACUACCUCUGUUUAAAUGCACUCUGAAGUAGACCCCAGAAAACUGAAUCCAAAACCCACCUCCAUUCAACUUAAGUUUCAAGGCAUCAAAACAUCUCGCUUUUUAUUUCCCAGAGAGGUCUGAAGUUCGUAAGAAGACAAUGGAUACAUUCAAACGAUGAGCCGAUCAACUUCUAUGUCCCACUGCCUUAAUACUGUACACAACAGUUAGAUUUACAGUUUGAAAAACGGUCAAAAGUGAACCGUGUUUUUCUUGGCCCUGACAAAUCAUUUCUAUAAAUAAAAGAGCAAAACGUAAACACAUUAGUUAACUUUUUGUUGUUGUCGCUAUGCCUUAACGUUCCUUUCAGAAAAAUACAUUUUCAUUUAUUCAUUGUAGGUCCCCACAUAAAUAGGAAUGAUUAAAAAAAACAAGUGCAAAACAAGACAAUCAAUAUUAUUUUGUUAAGCAGCCAUAAUUGUAAAAAGGUUUUGAGAUCCACGACCCGGUAAACCUGCGUUUAGUUAGCAAGUUACAAACCAGCAGCCAUUUGUGUCUCUUUACCAAACCUUUUCUUAAUCAUAAGAAAUGACUGUGUGAUGACAACUGUUCUUCCAAUUAAAAGAAAUGUAAAAAAACAGCACCAUCUAUGGGAUUUAUAUCUGUCUGGUAAAUCAACUACUGCAUUGUCCUUCUUGAUCGAUUCCUAACCAAAUAAACUCUUCCCUUCGGUGUGUUUCACCACCCCCAGAAAAACGAAACGACUCUCAGCCCUUAACGAAAAGACAAAUCGUAGGGGCCCCACUUACAACACAUAAAAUAAAAGCAGAUUUCCUUCCUUCAAUACUGUGACUGAAUUGGGCAGGUUUCCUUCCUUCAAUACUGUGACUGAAUUGGGCAGGUUUCCUUCCUUCAAUACUGUGACUGAAUUGGGCAGGUUUCCUUCCUUCAAUACUGUGACUGAAUUGGGCAGGUUUCCUUCCUUCAAUACUGUGACUGAAUUGGGCAGGUUUCCAGUUCCAUCAUAUAGUCUUCAGUGAACACCUUGUGGAAUGAAGGACAGAGGGAAGGAUGUGUAUGAAUUCAUGAAAUAAAACAAUGUCCUGUCUGUACUUCCUAGUCCAACUCCACUGAAGACAGAACAAAGAACAGCAGCCUUCUGACUCUUUAUACUGUAGUCUAUGGGACUCUAUAUACUGUAGCCUAUGGGACAGGGUAGCUGAGUGAUGGGACUCUAUAUACUGUAGUCUAUGGGACAGGGAGGCUGAGUGAUGUGACUCUAUAUACUGUAGUCUAUGGGACAGGGAGGCUGAGUGAUGUGACUCUAUAUACUGUAGUCUAUGGGACAGGGAGGCUGAGUGAUGACUCU
This is a long non-coding RNA of Oncorhynchus tshawytscha (Chinook salmon), 1493 nucleotides long. NCBI's taxonomy places the organism in Eukaryota, Metazoa, Chordata, Actinopteri, Salmoniformes, Salmonidae. The record is from Ensembl.